RNAcentral lists this microRNA (23 nucleotides) under Monodelphis domestica (gray short-tailed opossum). RNAcentral's name for it is "mdo-miR-12393-5p". The record is from miRBase by way of RNAcentral. Lineage: Eukaryota; Metazoa; Chordata; Mammalia; Didelphimorphia; Didelphidae.
UUCUGGCUCUAAAUACUAUGAGA